UACGUAGGGCGCAAGCGUUGUCCGGAAUUAUUGGGCGUAAAGAGCUCGUAGGCGGCUUGUCACGUCGGGUGUGAAAGCCCGGGGCUUAACCCCGGGUCUGCAUUCGAUACGGGCAGGCUAGAGUGUGGUAGGGGAGAUCGGAAUUCCUGGUGUAGCGGUGAAAUGCGCAGAUAUCAGGAGGAACACCGGUGGCGAAGGCAGCCCCCUGGGCUAGCACUGACGCUCAGGCACGAAAGCUAGGGGAGCAAACAGG
Molecule: ribosomal RNA, 253 nt
Filed under: uncultured bacterium
Lineage: Bacteria
Description: partial 16S ribosomal RNA
Rfam family: Bacterial small subunit ribosomal RNA
Source: RNAcentral